Molecule: long non-coding RNA, 1009 nt
Organism: Peromyscus eremicus (cactus mouse)
Lineage: Eukaryota; Metazoa; Chordata; Mammalia; Rodentia; Cricetidae
Exons: 4
Source: RefSeq, a predicted model, not a curated record
AUCCUGACCUCGCCAUGGAAACAGUCUAAGUUGAAAGUCAACGAUGUAGAGUGGUGGGUGUCCUACCAUGUACGGUUUCCAUAAUGAAAGGGAUCUUGAAUAACCCACUGAAGUGAAAUUAAACUGUGUGCCACGAUGCCAAGCCUGGAAUUAUGAUUCCCCAACAAAAUGAGAACAAGCCCUUGAUCCCAUGAAGAAAAUGAAUGUGAAAUCUGCCCCUGCCUAUUUUUGCCCAUUAUUUUCCUAAAUCAACCUUAAAUCCUACUGGAAGAUCAAAAUGCAUAUGAAAACAAGAUUGCUAAAGCCAUCUUGAAAAUGAAACCUCUCAAGAUCUACCAGGCCUGGUCUUCAGAAACAGUGACAAUGAUUGCCAGUUACACUAAGAAGCCACGUUUAUGAACAUGGAAAAUGACAUGUUAAGCCUCCUCAGAAAGGAGAAGUAUCUGUAACAAUCCUGGAAGGGGUGGUAGAGAGACCCAGAGACAUCAGGAUCCAGAUAAAGGAACACUUACAAGGCUAGCAGUCGCUGAUACUGGAAUUCUUCUCUGUCACUUUAAUAUUGGUGGUUGCCACCUUUUAAACAGCACUAUCAAGUCAGCAGGGGUUGCUACUUCUUUUUAAGGAUUCAAACUCUGUUCUUCUCAAAGAAGGCAAAUCACUAUUCCCAUGUCGACUCACGUGAUCACAUGGACUCAACUCUGAUUGAGAUGGACAGAACUUUGAUCUUAAAAAAAAAAAAAAAAAAAAAAAAAAAGCAAAGCUAAGGAAGCGGUGACCAGUCGAUGCUGGUCUUGCCGUGGAGUCCUCUGCCCUCCCACAAACUCAAAAUGGCGUUUCAAGACACUCUUGCUAUAGAACGUCUCCUCGUUGCUGUCCCAGGAGAGACUGUAAGGCCCCUGUUAGGAAGCACCCUUUUGUUGAUGGAGUAGCACCGGAGACAAUACGUGGCUUAACUGCACACUUGAAAGUUUGAAGAAAUAAGCAAAUAAAAAUAAGGGUGGGAAGAGGG